UGGGGAAUCUUGGACAAUGGGGGCAACCCUGAUCCAGCGGCGCCGCGUGGGUGAAGAAGGCCUUAGGGUUGUAAACCCCUUUCGCCGGGGAAGAUAAUGACGGUACCCGCAGAAGAAGCCCCGGCUAACUUCGUGCCAGCAGCCGCGGUAAUACGAAGGGGGUUAGCGUUGCUCGGAAUCACUGAGCGUAAAGCGCGCGUAGGCGGGUCGCUAAGUCAGGGGUGAAAUCCUGGAGCUCAACUCCAGAACUGCCUUUGAUACUGGCGACCUUGAGUCCGGGAGAGGUGAGUGGAAUUGCGAGUGUAGAGGUGAAAUUCGUAGAUAUUCGCAAGAACACCAGUGGCGAAGGCGGCUCACUGGCCCGGAACUGACGCUGAGGUGCGAAAGCGUGGGGAGCAAACAGGAUUAGAUACCCCGGUAGUCC
This 424-nucleotide ribosomal RNA is filed under the name uncultured prokaryote. Its description in RNAcentral is "bacterial SSU rRNA". It matches the Rfam family "Bacterial small subunit ribosomal RNA", at positions 355 to 796 of the family's 1533-position model. The record is from RNAcentral.